AUUAAAUGGUGCAAAAACAAUACCAAAGUAAACAAAAAAUCUGAAGGAAUAUCGUUUCACACGUUUCCAACGAAUAUUUUAAUAAGAGGUGAAUGGGUAGCGGCUGUAAGACUGAGAAAAUGACCACGAUUAUGCUGGCCAUGCGCAUAAAGUCAAUUUAAUACGAUUAGUGAUUGAAAAAUAUUUGAACUUAAGACUACAUCAUAUUAGUAAAAUGCAAACAAUGACGAUGACUCUGAGUUCUAAGCGAC
RNAcentral lists this unclassified non-coding RNA (251 nucleotides) under Melitaea cinxia (Glanville fritillary). RNAcentral describes it as "misc RNA ENSMCXG00005004843.1". Lineage: Eukaryota; Metazoa; Arthropoda; Insecta; Lepidoptera; Nymphalidae. The record is from RNAcentral.